RNAcentral lists this ribosomal RNA (556 nucleotides) under Nakaseomyces glabratus. RNAcentral's name for it is "eukaryotic LSU rRNA". It matches the Rfam family "Eukaryotic large subunit ribosomal RNA", at positions 89 to 650 of the family's 3401-position model. Lineage: Eukaryota; Fungi; Ascomycota; Saccharomycetes; Saccharomycetales; Saccharomycetaceae. The record is from RNAcentral.
GCGAGUGAAGCGGCAAAAGCUCAAAUUUGAAAUCUGGUACCUUUGGUGCCCGAGUUGUAAUUUGGAGAGUACCACUUUGGGACUGUACUUUGCCUAUGUUCCUUGGAACAGGACGUCAUGGAGGGUGAGAAUCCCGUGUGGCGAGGGUGUCAGUUCUUUGUAAAGGGUGCUCGAAGAGUCGAGUUGUUUGGGAAUGCAGCUCUAAGUGGGUGGUAAAUUCCAUCUAAAGCUAAAUACAGGCGAGAGACCGAUAGCGAACAAGUACAGUGAUGGAAAGAUGAAAAGAACUUUGAAAAGAGAGUGAAAAAGUACGUGAAAUUGUUGAAAGGGAAGGGCAUUUGAUCAGACAUGGUGUUUUGCGCCCCUUGCCUCUCGUGGGCUUGGGACUCUCGCAGCUCACUGGGCCAGCAUCGGUUUUGGCGGCCGGAAAAAACCUAGGGAAUGUGGCUCUGCGCCUCGGUGUAGAGUGUUAUAGCCCUGGGGAAUACGGCCAGCCGGGACCGAGGACUGCGAUACUUGUUAUCUAGGAUGCUGGCAUAAUGGUUAUAUGCCGCCC